GAUGAACGCUGGCGGCGUGCCUAAUACAUGCAAGUCGAGCGAACAGACGAGGAGCUUGCUCCUCUGACGGUAGCGACGGAGGGGUGAGUAACACGUGGAUAACCUACCUAUCAGACUGGGAUAACUUCGGGAAACCGGAGCUAAUACCGGGUAAUAUAUUGAACCGCAUGGUUCAAUAGUGAAAGACGGUUUUGCUGUCACUUUUAGAUGGAUCCGCGCCGCAUUAGCUAGUUUGUAAGGUAACGGCAUACCAAGGCAGCGAUGCGUAGCCGACCUGAGAGGGUGAACGGCCACCCGGGAUGAGAGACACGGUCCACACUCUGACGGUGAGAAGCAGCAGAGACUCUUCCGCAAUGGGGGAAAGCGUAACGGAGCACAGCCGCGUGAAUGAUGAAGGUCUUCGGACGGUAAAACGAUGUUAGUAGGGAAGUACAAAUGCGUAAGUAACCAUGCACGUAUUGACGGUACCGGAUGAGAAAGCCCCGGCUAACUACGUG
RNAcentral lists this ribosomal RNA (497 nucleotides) under uncultured bacterium. RNAcentral's name for it is "partial 16S ribosomal RNA". It matches the Rfam family "Bacterial small subunit ribosomal RNA", at positions 28 to 507 of the family's 1533-position model. The record is from RNAcentral.